This 774-nucleotide ribosomal RNA is filed under the name uncultured Neocallimastigales. RNAcentral describes it as "partial large subunit ribosomal RNA". It matches the Rfam family "Eukaryotic large subunit ribosomal RNA", at positions 18 to 643 of the family's 3401-position model. The record is from RNAcentral. Lineage: Eukaryota; Fungi; Neocallimastigomycota; Neocallimastigomycetes; Neocallimastigales.
UCAGACGAUGCGUCAUGCAUAUCAAUAAGCGGAGGAAAAGAAACUAACAAGGAUUCCCCUAGUAAUGGCGAGUGAAGCGGGAAGAGCUCAAAUUUGAAAUCUUAAAGGGUUUCCCUUUACGAAUUGUAGUUUAAAGAAGUGUUUUCUGUUGAGGUUUUGGUAAAAGUUCUUUGGAAUAGGACAUCAUAGAGGGUGAGAAUCCCGUAUUUGACCUUUACUUUCAACUUUGUGAUACACUUUCAAAGAGUCGGAUUGUUUGGGAAUGCAGUCCAAAAUGGGUGGUAAAUUUCAUCUAAAGCUAAAUAUUGGCGAGAGACCGAUAGCGAACAAGUACCGUGAGGGAAAGAUGAAAAGAACUUUGAAACGAGAGUUAAACAGUACGUGAAAUUGUCAAAAGGGAAGCGUUUGACACCAGUGUUGUUUUUCUGAAAAUCAAUUAAAGAACUGUUUAUGCUAAGCUGUUUAGACUUUAUCAGCUAUCUGUUUAGUUUUGAGCUUUUCUUUAAUGCACUUUUCAGUUAACAAGUCAACAUCAAUUUCUUUUGCUGUAAAAAAGCUUGAGGAAGGUGGCUUGAGAUUCGUCUUAAGUGUUUAUAGCCUCUUGCCUAUGCAGUCGGAGAGAUUGAGGUCUGCAGCGUAGAUCCUUCGGGGCUAAAUGCAUUUGUGCUAAGUUAUAGCAUUUUAUAGACAACUUGUUGACUAUGAUUUGUCUUGUAGCUUACUCGCUUAUGUUAUUUUACCUACGCUUAGGAUGUUGACACACGCGCGUGCUCG